This 253-nucleotide ribosomal RNA is filed under the name uncultured bacterium. Its description in RNAcentral is "partial 16S ribosomal RNA". It matches the Rfam family "Bacterial small subunit ribosomal RNA", at positions 524 to 776 of the family's 1533-position model. The record is from RNAcentral.
UACGGAGGGAGCUAGCGUUGUUCGGAAUUACUGGGCGUAAAGCGCACGUAGGCGGCUUUGUAAGUUAGAGGUGAAAGCCCGGGGCUCAACCCCGGAAUUGCCUUUAAGACUGCAUCGCUUGAAUCCGGGAGAGGUGAGUGGAAUUCCGAGUGUAGAGGUGAAAUUCGUAGAUAUUCGGAAGAACACCAGUGGCGAAGGCGGCUCACUGGACCGGUAUUGACGCUGAGGUGCGAAAGCGUGAGGAGCAAACAGG